Molecule: long non-coding RNA, 7433 nt
Filed under: Gossypium barbadense (sea-island cotton)
Lineage: Eukaryota; Viridiplantae; Streptophyta; Magnoliopsida; Malvales; Malvaceae
Description: long non-coding RNA (GBAR_LNC019588)
Source: RNAcentral
AUCAAGCCAUUUUUAACUAAACCGAAAUUAAGCAUAAGAAUUAGACUAUUAAAACAUAUUCUUUAAUACCAAAUUCAAAAACGAAAAGAGACAAGCCAUUUUCGCAUGGCUCAUAUUUACAUAUCAAAAAAUAAUUUAAACAUAUUAACUAGACUAUACAUGCCAUAGGUUCGAGUUCAAAAUAUACAAAAUACCAAGAACGGUCGAUAGUGUGAUAGACUAAGCUGACGAUCCCCGAACUCGUAACACGUCUCCAAAAUCUAUAAACAAAUAAACAAAAACAAUCAAAGUAAGCUUCUAAAACUCAGUAAGUUCAUAGCAUAUCAAAAUACAUAUUAACGAUCACUUGUAUUAUCAUUAUAUACAUAAAAAAAAUUAAGUUAUAUACAUCAUCAUUAAUUGCAUAUAUAUAUUCCAAAUAUACUUAUCGGCCACACGUGCCGAAUGCACACAUAUAUGUAUAUAUACUUUAGUUCACAUAUGCCGAACGCAUAGAUAUAUAUACUUACCAGACACAAAGAUUCGAGCUUUUAAAUGCUCUUCAAAAACAUAGCAACAGAUGUUCAUAUAUUAAUCCUAUAUAAAUAACCAAAUCAUAUACAUAUAUAUAUUCAAUGUAUACAAUCACUUAAUUAAAACAGAUUCAACGGCACAUAGACUGCUAGACUUAUAGCUUGAUUCAGAUCACCGGCACGUAGCCUGCUAGGUUUAUAACCUGAUUCAAAUCACCGGCACGUAGCCUGCUAGGUUUAUAACCCGAUUCAAAUCACCGGCACGUAGCCUGCUAGGUUUAUAACCCGAUUCAAAUCACCGGCACGUAGCCUGCUAGGUUUAUAACCCGAUUCAAAUCACCGGCACAUAGCCUGCUAGGUUUAUAACCCGAUUCAAAUCACCGGCACGUAGCCUGCUAGGCGCUUAGCCUAAAAAUCUCAAUUUCACAGAUACAAGGAUGAUUUCUCGUAUAUUUCUUAAUAACAACAUACAUUCAUAACAUUUAUAUAUAAUUCACAAUCUCAACUCUAUCUCAAGAAAAUUGGUAGUCCAUGUUUGAAUCAUGCAAGCAUUUAAAAUUUAUACUUUUAAUUCAAUGCAAAUCUUAAACCUAUAUAUAUAUACAAUCAACCAUGUAUAUCAAUAUAUAAUUCCAUACCUAAUUUCAAUACAUAUACUUUUAAAUUUUUAGCUCAUCAAAUAUAUAAUAGAUGUACAUUUAUAUUUAUAUAUAUAUACAUAUUCGAACUUAAUUUAUGCAUAUGUAUAUAUAUAACACUCAUACUUAAAAUUCAUUAUAAGAACAUAUACAUAUAUGUAAGCAUGCUUAUUCAAAUAUAGCAUAUAUAUAUAAAUUAUAAUUCACAUGUACAUAUCUAUUAAAAACUUCUCUUACAAUUAUGGGUUACAUAACUUCAAAUAAAUCCAUGAGUUUAUACACAUAUAUAUUAUACAAUUCUUUAAUUAAAAUCAAGAAUUUAUACCUAUGCAAUAUUCAUACUUUAACUAAUUUCAAUAACUUUUAUAUAUACAUGCUUAUUCGAAUAUCAACUAUACUCUUAUACAUUUCUUACCUUUAUUUCAACCCAUAAAUCUAUACAAGAUUAUACUUUUAUAUUCGAACAUUCUAUAUAUAUAAAUAUCAUCCAUACUUAAAAAUUUACUCAAUCAAUAUACUUUUAAUUAUAGCUCAACUCCAAAUACAAUUAGUAUACAUGAAUAAAUAUUAACAUAAUAAAUUUUAAUUGCUAAUAGACUUACCUCGGAUAUCAGCGGACACGAUCGACUAUUCGAUUACUUUCGUUUUUCCCCGAUCCAAAUUCGUUUUCUUCGUUUCUUGAUCUAAACAUAAUCAAAUUUAACUUUUUUUUAUUCAUCAAAACAUUCAAUUAAGUUCAAAAAUACAUAAAUAGGAAAAUUACCAUUUUGCCCCUAACAUUUUGCACUUUUUGCAAUUUAGUCCUUUUUGCACAAAACACAAAAUACACAAAAUUUGCCCAUACCACACAAGAGCCGAAUAUUCAUGGUUCUCAUACAUGUCCACACAUUGCAUUUAUUUCAUAUUUUAGUCCUUCAAAAAUUUAUUUUCACAAUUUAACUCUAAUUACACAAAUUCACUAAAAAUUUAAAGACAAAACAUGUUAAUCUAACACAUAUAUUUCAUAUUUCAUCAACUAACAUGACAAAACUCAAACAUUCAUCAAUGGCACAUUUCAAAAUCAUCAACAAUUCACAAAUUUAAUACAUGGGUUUUGAAGUAUUCAAAGCAUCGAUCUCAAAAACGUAAAAAUUAUCAAAAACCGAAACAAUUUCAUACCUUAAUCAAGCUAGUAAAGUGCCGAAACCCUAAAUGCCAUGGAUGUUUUCUUUCUUUGCAACAUUCGGCCAACAAAAGAGAUGAUAAUGGCUUGUUUUAUGUUUUGUUUUAUUAUACUAUACAUUAUUUAUUAAUUUACUUAUUUAACCUUUAAUAAUUAAUAAACAAAACAUAUAUAAUAAGGUUAUAUUAGUCCUUUGCCACCCACUAUCUAUGUUUUAGUCUAAUUGCAUCAUUAAUCCCCCAUUUUAAAAAGAAAACAACAAUUAGGUACUUUUAGAUUUAACCCCUAAAUUUUUAUUUUAAGCGAUUUAAUCCUUUUAUUUAAUCGGACACUCAAAUGACAAAAUUAAAACACGAAAAUUUCACACAAUUAAAUUCACACAUAAUAAACACACAAAAUAAUAUUAAAAUAUUUUUUUGACUCGGACUUGUGGUCCCGAAACCACUAUAUCCGAUUAGAGUCAAAACCGGGUUGUUACAUUCACAAUUCAAAUCAAUUUCUCAAUCCAAUACAUAUAUAUUUCAAUACCACACUCUCAUACUAUGAAACUUUAUUUUCCCAUAUGAGCUUAAACCAUGAUCAUCACAUAUCAAAGACAAAUGUUCUUGACAUUUUCAUCACAUAAACCGAAUUAAUCAAUGCAACUCAAUGAUAUAAUCAUCCUUAUAUCAUUAUUAUCACACAUAUAUAUAUGUCAUGACUAAAUUUCUUAAACAUUUGAUCAAUUGCUUUUCAAUACCGCAAUAGUUCCUUCAGUACCAAUACGUAUUUACCAUUCAAUUUAACAUUUACCGAUUAUAAUCGGCCUUAUGACCAUUAUACACAAUUCUUUCAUACAUUUUAUUGUCCUCCUCCUCCUCUCCAUUCCACAUCCUUUAUGUAUAAAACAUGCUUAAAUAGUAUUAUACAUAAUUUCACUUUCCACUUAUAUUUAGAUUUAAAGCUGUCUAAUCGAGUUACAGUCACCAAAUUAUUUUUAUCUGGAGCUACAGAGCUCCGAAUUAAGUUCCGCUAAUUUUCCCUGAAACUAGACUCACAUAUCUUCUUUCCAUAAAAUUUUCAGAAUUUUUUGUUUAGCUAAUUACUACAGUUUCUUCUUUAAACUCUCCCCUGUUUCACUGCUUAACAGCUCUAACUCCUCUUCACUAAAAAUUGUUUAUCUCUUUGUACAGAAUUCAAAUGAUGUUCUCGUUUGUUUCUCUUGAAAAUAGACUCAAUUAGGAAUUAAAUAAUGUAAAUUAAAAGCCAUAAUUAUUUUUUUACAAUUUUUAGUGAUUUUUAAAAGUCAGAACAGUGGAUUCCAAAAUCAUUCUAGCUCUGUCUCACUAAAAUUCAAAUAUCUCAUAAUAUAAAACUCAUUUUCUUGCUCUAUUUCUUUUACGUGAAAAUAUACUCAUUCAGCUUCAAUUUCAUAUAUUAUUCAGUCUCUAAUUCAAUUUCCACCAUUUUUGGUGAUUUUUCAAAAUCACACAACUAUUGCUGUCUAAACUGUUUUGUUGCUAAAUGUACACUUUCAUAAUUUCAGUUUUUCACUUUCAAUCACAAUUCAAUUCAAAAUUCACUUUUCCAUUUCUAAGUCGAUAUUCAAUUCAAUUCCACACCUAUAUUCAUUAACCAAUUACACUUAGUCAAUUUCCCGAUGAACACUUCGGAAUAAUAACAGAUACACAGUGGAUUCAGCACGCAGCAACCACUCUUUGUAAUCAAUUAUGCCGGUUCACAUAGUAGCAUGCACAUAGUACUACACAGGUGAACAUCACUAUCCGAUACACGUAGUAGCCUUCACAUAGUACUACACACGUGAUCGAAGCUAUCCGGUACACAUAGUAGCCUGCACAUAGUACUACACAUGCGACCUAUCAUUCUGAUACACGCAGUAGCCUACACAUAGUACUACACACGUGAUCAAGUUUUACGGUUCACAAAGUAGCCUUCACAUAGUACUACACACGUGAUCAAAGCUUUUCGGUACACCUAGUAGCCUUCACUUAGUACUACACAUGUGACCAUUAUUUAUCGAUACACGUAGUAGCCUUCACACAGUACUACACAAGUGACCAAAGCUUCUCGGUACACAUUGUAGCCUUCACUUAGUACUACACAUGUGACCAUUAUUUAUCGAUACACGUAGUAGCCUUCACACAGUACUACACACGUGUUCAUCGAUACCUUACUCAAAUUUUUACCGUUCCGACAGUUCCACAAAGAUUCUUACUUCCCAAUAAUUUACAAUUUCUCCAUAACACAUUAUAAUACCAAUCUUUCCACUCAACUCCAUAACCAAUUUAAUAAAUUGAUUUGAAUCACUUCAACCAUUACUUUCAUUUUCACAUAGUGGCCUACACACAGUCCAUACCACAUAUGUAAUCAUUUCUGUCACUUCAUUCAAAACAUCCAUUUUUAUUCCGAAUGUUCAAUCGGGAAAUUUCUCACUUUUUCUCAUUUUUUUUACUAAUCAAAGUCAAUUCCUUGUCUUUCUUAACUUAUAAUAACAUAUUUAGCUUAUAUUACAUUCACAUUAUUCAAUCCAGUCCAAAAAUCACAUUUUGGAAAAAUUACAUUUUUGCCCCUAAUGUUUCACAAAAUUACGAUUUUGUCCCUAGGCUCGGAAAUUAAACUUUAUUUAUUUUUCUUAUGUAAUAUAACAUGAUGAACAUUUUUCCCUUCUACAGAAACAUCAAAUUGUUGCUCUAAAGUGCACUUAUGAACAUUAGGUAUUUUUACCGAUUAAGUCGUUUUACUCGUUUUCGCUGAAAAUCGCUUAGCAAAAAUCGUUUAACAUAAUUCUAAGCUUCAUAUUCUAUCAUGAAACAUCAAAAUUCACACUUUUCAUCUAUGGGUAAUUUUUCAAACAUAAAUUCUAGCUCGAAUUAAUGGUAGAAAUAGCUUAAGCAAGUUAUCAGGAUUCGAAAAAUACAAAGAACAAGAAAAACGGGGCUAGAACGGACUUACCAUGAAGCUUGGAAGAUGAAAAAACCCUAGCCAUGGUGUUCCCUUGCUACAUACGGCCAUGGAGGAAAGAAUUGAAGAAGAUGAUAAUUUAUUUCAUGUUACUUUGUCUUUAUUCAUUAAUUAAGUUAUUUUACCAAAAUGCCCUUAAAUAGCUUACUUACUAACCAUGUCUAUUUUUGUCCAUAAAUAACCAAUGGUUGAAUUACCAUUUAAGGACCUCCAAUUUAAAAUUUCAUAAUAAUUAGACACCUCUAACUUGUAGAACUCAACUUUUGCACUUUUUACAAUUUAGUCCUUUUGACUAAAUUGAGUGCCCAAACGUCGAAAUUUUCGAACGAAAUUUUCACAAAAUCAUUCCGUGAAAUCGUAGACCAUAAAAAUAUAAGAAAAAAUUUUUUCGUUGUCGAAUUUAUGGUCCCGAAACCACUGUUCCGACUAGGCCCAAAAUCGGGCUGUUACAGGGAUUGUCCUGGAUGCUGAACUGAGACUCUGACCCCUUUUCAACAUGCGCACGGAAACAACCGUACGCUGAGUAUUUUAUACUCAGUGGUAUUACCAUAAUUCAAAUUAUAAUAACAAUAAAGAAUUAUAAUUACGAAGCUUGUAACUAUCCGAUUUCUUAAUAUCAAUUAAUUCAUAAACUUUCAUUAUUUAACAAUAACAAUACAAUUUUUUAGCUACCUUCAAUCUCAAUCACAUAUCACAUGUAGCAAUUUCAAUCACUACAUAAACAUUAAAUUCAUGCCUUUUAUUUUCAAUAUCAAUUUCAAUCUACAAAUUUUUAAUUUUCUCAUAUUCAAUACCACAAUCGAUCAAAUUCAUUUGAUUUUCUCAUUUCAAUUAUUCACCCUAUUAACAAUCUGGACUUUGACGGAUACACGGAUUCCAACCCAAACACGCCAAUACGGCACAUUGUGCCUAAAACGGUACAUAGUACCUAAUCAGUAUACGACACAUAAGUGCCUGAAAUGACACACGAGGUGCCUGAUACGACACAUAAAGUGCCUGAGAUACGACACAUAAAGUGCCUGAUCGGCAAAGCCGAUAAAUCCUGUACUCUUCCAAAUCCUAUUGCAUGCCAACUAUAUCCGACUUAGCCCGACUAGUUAAUAGGGUAUUCAAAUUCUCAAUUCUCUUUCAUUUUCAAUUCAAGAUCACUUUUCCACUUUCUAAUCAAUUAACAAUUUAAUACCAAUUCAUAUUUCAAAUAAUCACAUUCAAUUCAAACCACUUUUCAAUCAUUACACAAUUCACAUAUUCACACAUAUUCAUAAAUUAAUUCACUUUAUUUAAUUCAUAUUUUAAAUUCAUUUUUCAAUCAAAUUCAAAUCACUAAUUACUUUUUAAUCAAUAUACAUUUCAAAUACUCACAUAUUUCCUUCAUUCAAUUUGAUUUGAUUCAAUUCAAAUCACUAUUAUCAUUUCAAUUGCUUACCUAAUUUUACUUACCAUGCAUUUUAAUUAAAAUAUAACAAUUAAUAAUAAAUAGAUUUGAAUUAUAGUAAUACAAACCCGAAUUUGCUCGAUUAUUCCUCAACGACCUUCUCCUCCCCUUUUUGUGCUGAUACCUCGAAUUCUUUACUUGCUAUGAAAAUUAAAUAAUUAAAUAAUUAAUUACAGCACAAAUUUUACAAUAAAAAUAAAAUUUCUAUCAAAAUUUAUACUUUAAUUCCAAUUUAAUCCUAACUAGAUUUAUCUACUUUUCUAAUUUAAUUCACACUCUAUUUCUAUUCAAAUUUCUUCUAAACUCAAAUUUAUCUACUAAUUUUUCAGAAUUUUUCACUAAUUUCGAAUUUUUCUCAAUUUAAUCCCUAAAAUUCAAAACUUAUAGUUUAGUUUACAAUUCAAUCCUUUAUUCAAUUCCAAAUAAAAUUUCUAUCAAAUAAAUCCUCAAUUCCAUCAUUUAUUCAACAUAAACCCUACUCAAAAAUCUAUUAACUUUCAAUUUUUCAACUUCAAUCCAAGAGUAUUUCACUCUAGGAUUCCAAAAACAUCAAAUUUAUGAGAAAAUGACUUGAUUUAGCUUACCUAUUAAACUUCAAGCUUCAAAAUCUCAAUUUUCCCCCUUUCUUUUCUUUCCCUUUUUCUUCCCAUGUUUUCGACUCUUUCUCUGUUUCUUUUCUGUUCUUCUUCUCUUUUUCUAUUCUUUUAUUUCAUUUGUUUUCUUUU